Non-coding RNA from Podarcis muralis (Common wall lizard), 218 nucleotides. Lineage: Eukaryota; Metazoa; Chordata; Lepidosauria; Squamata; Lacertidae. The record is from RefSeq and is a predicted model, not a curated record.
AGACCCUUGACAGGGGAGGGACCUUUUCCUCCUGGGCGGAGGUUGCAGCAGGGACGAGGUUGGGUGGGACGCCGACAUGGCGACGGCUCUGCUAAUCUCCUGCGGCCGUACUGCCGUGCUCAAGACUUUUAAGUUGCAAGCAUGGGGGCUUCGAAGUGUACCUCCUGCUGUUUCUCUCUGCACCAAACCAGGGGGUGAUAAGAAAGUCUCCAAAAAAA